This 253-nucleotide ribosomal RNA is filed under the name uncultured bacterium. Its description in RNAcentral is "partial 16S ribosomal RNA". It matches the Rfam family "Bacterial small subunit ribosomal RNA", at positions 524 to 776 of the family's 1533-position model. The record is from RNAcentral.
UACAGAGGGUGCGAGCGUUAUCCGGAUUUACUGGGUUUAAAGGGUGCGUAGGCGGAUUUGUAAGUCCGAGGUGAAAUCUCCGAGCUUAACUCGGAAACUGCCUUGGAUACUAUAAGUCUUGAAUGACGUUGAGGUUAGCGGAAUAUGUCAUGUAGCGGUGAAAUGCUUAGAUAUGACAUAGAACAUCUAUUGCGAAGGCAGCUAACUAAGCGUAUAUUGACGCUCAUGCACGAUAGCGUGGGGAGCAAACAGG